AUGCAGCUCGACCCAGGCAAGCCCUGGACCCUCAACACGGGCGACAGCAACACCACGCGCCUGUGGGCGCACACGGGCUGCUCCUUCGACGGCAAUGGCACCGGGACCUGCCAGACGGGCGACUGCGGCGGCCUGCUCGCCUGCAAAGCCAAUGGCCGGCCGCCCAACACCAUCGCGGAGUUUCGGCUCGGCGGCUUCAGCAGCCAGGAUUUCUUCGACAUCUCCUCUGUCGAGGGCUUCAACGUGCCCAUGGACAACCUGCCGGUGCCGGCCAAGGGCGGGCCAGGGUGCAGCAAGGGGCCGCGUUGCGGAGCCAACAUAACGGCGCAGUGCCCGACCAGUCUGAAGGCGCCGGGGGGUUGUAACAGCCCGUGCACGGUGUUCAAGCAGGAUAGGUACUGCUGUACCGGGACUGUGGCAAGCAACUGCAGCACCACGGACUACUCCGACUUCUUCAAGAAGAUGUGCCCAGAUGCCUACAGCUACCCCAUGGAUGAUGCCACCAGCACUUUCAGUUGCCCAGCCGGCACCAAAUACAAGGUAGUCUUUUGUCCCCUGACCAAUCAAGCAAUACCGCCGAGUCCUCUGCCUGCACCCCCGGCUGUGGUAACACCUAGUGGGCCAACAACCAUGAAACCAAAAUUCUCCACUGUAAGAACAGUAGUUGCAAUUUUAGCUCCUAUAGGCGGCUUCAUCUUUCUGUUCCUCGUCACUUUCUAUUUUUGUAAACGAAGAACCCAACAACGGCGUGAGAUGGAGGAAGAGGAAGAGGAAGAGUUUGGGGAGCUACAAGGAACACCAAUGAGGUUCACAUUUGAACAGCUAAAGGCAGCAACCGAGCAAUUCGCAGACAAGCUCGGGGAAGGAGGAUUUGGGUCUGUUUUCAAGGGGCAAUUUGGUGAUGAAAGGAUUGCAGUAAAACGUCUGGAUCGAUCUGGUCAGGGCAAAAGAGAAUUUUCAGCAGAGGUUCAGACAAUUGGCAGCAUUCAUCAUAUUAAUCUGGUGAGAUUGAUUGGUUUCUGUCCAGAAAAAUCCCAUAGGCUCUUGGUAUAUGAGUACAUGCCCAAAGGAUCCUUGGACAGAUGGAUCUAUUGUCGACAUGACAAGGUUGCUUCUCCUCUGGAUUGGAGCACGCGGUGCAAGAUAAUAACUCACAUAGCUAAGGGCCUCUCUUAUCUUCAUGAGGAGUGCACAAAACGAAUCGCUCAUUUGGAUGUCAAACCACAAAACAUCCUCUUAGAUGAUGACUUCAAUGCUAAACUUUCUGAUUUUGGACUAUGCAAACUCAUAGACAGGGAUAUGAGCCAAGUGGUUACCAGAAUGAGGGGCACACCUGGAUAUUUAGCUCCUGAAUGGUUGACAUCACAGAUCACCGAAAAGGCAGAUAUCUACAGCUUUGGCGUCGUGGUCAUGGAAAUCAUCAGUGGAAGAAAGAACCUCGACACUUCCCAGUCAGAAGAGAGCAUCCAUCUCAUCACCCUAUUGGAGGAAAAGAUUGAUUCCAAAAAAAGGCCUAAAAUGUCUGAGGUGGUAAAAGUAUUGGAAGGUACCAUGACUGCAGACCUCAACAUAGAACAUAACUUUGUUGUAACAACUCCAGCAAAUUUUGGUAGCACAGGAAAUCUGAGCUCUUCAGCUCCACCUCUAGCCUCAGAUGUAUCAGGCCCCAGGUAA
This 1674-nucleotide ribosomal RNA is filed under the name Triticum aestivum (bread wheat). Its description in RNAcentral is "partial small subunit ribosomal RNA". The record is from RNAcentral. Lineage: Eukaryota; Viridiplantae; Streptophyta; Magnoliopsida; Poales; Poaceae.